Molecule: ribosomal RNA, 390 nt
Filed under: uncultured bacterium
Lineage: Bacteria
Description: bacterial SSU rRNA
Rfam family: Bacterial small subunit ribosomal RNA
Source: RNAcentral
GACGAACGCUGGCGGCGUGCUUAACACAUGCAAGUCGAGCGGUAAGGCCCUUUCGGGGGUACGACGAGCGGCGAACGGGUGAGUAACACGUGGGUGACCUGCCUUUAGCUCUGGGAUAAGCCUGGGAAACUGGGUCUAAUACCGGAUAUGACUCCAUGAUGCAUGUUGUGGGGUGGAAAGCCUUGUGCGGCUGGAGAUGGGCCCGCGGCCUAUCAGCUUGUUGGUGGGGUGANGGCCUACCAAGGCGACGACGGGUAGCCGGCCUGAGAGGCGACCGGCCACACCGGGACUGAGACACGGCCCAGACUCCUACGGGAGGCAGCAGUGGGGAAUCUUGCGCAAUGGGCGAAAGCCUGACGCAGCGACGCCGCGUGAGGGAUGACGGCCUGG